GCUGAACAACAGAGAUCACGUGGCUUGUGAGCGCCCUGGUGGAGGAUCGUCUGCAGGUUGGAUAUGAUUAACUGAUGUGGCGCUGCGUCGUGUGUACUGUAGCUAAUGUAUUUGUACUUCGGUGACAAUUGUUAUAUUUUUUUUUGUGUACUGGAGUUGUGGUGAUGAGCACCACAUGUAUCUACUGAAAUUAUGUGUGUGCUAAGCUGCGUGGUACGCUGACGGACCAAAAGUUUGACAGCUUGUGCGGUGUGCUGAGGUCGCUGUUGUUCUUUGACCCUAAUAGCUUAUACGGAGUAGCUGGCUAUCGAUCCCCAGGGUGAAAGUCCUGUCGAACGUUUCCGUUCCCAGGGGAAUCACCUUUUACAGUACAUCAAAGUAAUAAGAGCCAUCCAUUUUAUCCAUUGAACGGACAAGAUUAACUAAUACUACAGCUCAAUUUGUGGAGUAUUUUUUUUGACUAAAACCACUUCUGCUUCGGUACACCCCCUAAACACAAGGACGGCUCAGAUUAACUGAUACCUCUUCAUAAGUAAAGGCAUGAUAGUCAUAAUUUAUAAACUCUUCAUGUAUAUGCUAUUUUUUUUUACAAACACGUAUACACUGUACAUGAACGGACGUGCACACCCUGCCGCGGGCUGGCCCAUUCAGCCUUCUUUUUUUAUGAAACCGCAAAAAAUAGAAGUUUAAAUAGAUUUGUGUCCCCCCUGUGAAGGUAUCCUCAGGCCUACAUGGAUCAGCUGAACAACAGAGAUCAUGUGGCUUGUGAGGGCAUCUCCAGCCGCGCCCCCAAGAAGGCCUCCUCAGGCUUUUUUUCGCGCCGGCGCUGAAAAAACGGCCCAGUCGCGUCCCCAGGAGCCCGAUUUUCACCGGCUUGGGCCGAAAACAGCGCCGGCGGACCCAGCCCGAACCCGGCGCGCUGGGGGGCGCCCGGGGGCACCGGGCGAACUGUUUUGGCGCGAAAAAGCCGCGGGUCCGCCGCGUCAGCGACACGGCUCUCUUCUCGGCCCUUCGUCGUCCUCAUCGCCUCGUUUCCCGAGGCGAAUCAAUGCCAAAGCUGCCGCGCUGCCGCGCCGGUCAGCCUGCACCAUUGAUGCCUCACGGGCGGCGCAGUGAAGACCGGACGACGCGCGUCCCUCGCCCUCCCUCGCCCGCCACGCGUACACACGGUGACACGCGCGCCUUGGCCUAUAUAUGAAGUGCCCCGGCGCACUCGGCGACUCACACUCUCCCGCCGCCGUCGUUUCCUCCCUCUCCUCUCCUCUCUUUCGCCGUCCCUAGUUCACACCCAUGGCCGAGCGCUUCCCAGGCGACGGCGCGGCGGCGAACGGCUUCAGCCGCCGCCAUCUUCACGAAGACGAGGCUCGCCUCCUUUACGAGGCCGAGUACCCGGUCCCGCCGGACAUGCGGGUGCCCGGGACGUGGAGGAUCAGCGCGGGCGGUGUGCCGGUGCCCCCGGUACCGACCGGUGUGGCGCGGCGUGCGGAGAUCGCAUGCAUCCGCUCGAACCUGCCGCGUGCGGCGAGGGAGGCGCCACGGUACGCCCCCGACAGCCCGCUCUGGGAACCUUACUUCCGCCGCCGUCAGGCCGAGCAGCUCGAGGCCACCAACUGCGUCGUGCCCUCUGGCAGGCUCAACGCCGCAGGCCGGCGUCUGUGGUGGGGCGUGCCCGGGCGCAUGUUGGAGGCCGUCCUCGAGUACAUCGAGGGCGGCAACAUGCCGCGCCUGGAGUACCCCGCUCCCCCUUCCUUCUCACGCCACCGGGGAAGCUCCUGGACCCCGAGGCGCAUGGAGACCGGGGGGUCCUCCUCCUCGUCCGGCGGCUCGCCCUGCCUCCGCCCUGUCAAGCCGGAGCCCCAAGACACGCCGGUCAGCACGCGCACCCGCAGCUCCGGCGGCGCACCCGCAACCGACCGCUUCGUCCUUGCCGAGCCCAAGCCAGAGCCUGUCCUCCCCGCGGAGUACGAGGAGAUAGCCCGGCGCGGCUUCUCCGACGAGGACGCCAUGCGGUGGGCGCGGGACGACUACCUCUGCGACGAGAUGGUCCGGCAGCGCCGGGCCCUGGAGGAGAUCGCCGCCCGCAAGCGUGGGCGCGAGGACGAGCACGGCGUCGUGGUCCUCGACAGCGACGACGACGACGACGCCCCCGAACCGUCCAACCCGCCGCGCCAACCGGGGGAGGGAUGCAGCAGGGACGGCGGAGGCGGCGACGACGACGACGACGGCGGUGACUACACGCGGUUCUACCGCCUCCUCGACAUGUAGAACCGCGUGGGCGGGCGGCGAGGGAGACGGCGGGGUAGCCCGCGGUAGUUUUUUUGCUUUUUUGUAAAAUAUGUUUAAGUUUGAAUGAACUCGCCGAUGUUUGCGUUAAAUUUGAGUCGUUUUUGCGCCGUGUUUGACUUUUUUGAUUAACCGUGGGUUUAGCGCCGGUGCACCCCCAGGGGGCGCUUUUUUGCCUCUCCUGGGGGGCCAACGGCUGGAGAUGCCGUGAGCGCCCUGGUGGAGGAUCGUCUGCAGGUUGGAUAUGAUUAACUGAUGUGGCGCUGCGUCGUGUGUACUGUAGCUAAUGUAUUUGUACUUCGGUGACAAUUGUUAUAUUUUUUUUGUGUACUGGAGUUGUGGUGAUGAGCACCACAUGUAUCUACUGAAAUUAUGUGUGUGCUAAGCUGCGUGGUACGCUGACGGACCAAAAGUUUGACAGCUUGUGCGAUGUGCUGAGGUCGCUGUUGUUCUUUGACCCUAAUAGCUUAUACGGAGUAGCUGGCUAUCGAUCCCCAGGGUGAAAGUCCUGUCGAACGUUUCCGUUCCCAGGGGAAUCACCUUUUACAGUACAUCAAAGUAAUAAGAGCCAUCCAUUUU
RNAcentral lists this long non-coding RNA (2862 nucleotides) under Triticum aestivum (bread wheat). Its description in RNAcentral is "long non-coding RNA (TAES_LNC003539)". Lineage: Eukaryota; Viridiplantae; Streptophyta; Magnoliopsida; Poales; Poaceae. The record is from RNAcentral.